Molecule: ribosomal RNA, 497 nt
Filed under: uncultured bacterium
Lineage: Bacteria
Description: partial 16S ribosomal RNA
Rfam family: Bacterial small subunit ribosomal RNA
Source: RNAcentral
GAUGAACGCUGGCGGCGUGCCUAAUACAUGCAAGUCGAGCGAACAGACGAGGAGCUUGCUCCUCUGACGUUAGCGGCGGACGGGUGAGUAACACGUGGAUAACCUACCUAUAAGACUGGGAUAACUUCGGGAAACCGGAGCUAAUACCGGAUAAUAUAUUGAACCGCAUGGUUCAAUAGUGAAAGACGGUUUUGCUGUCACUUAUAGAUGGAUCCGCGCCGCAUUAGCUAGUUGGUAAGGUAACGGCUUACCAAGGCAACGAUGCGUAGCCGACCUGAGAGGGUGAUCGGCCACACGAGAACGGAGACACGGUCCAGACUCCUACGGGAGGCAGCAGUAGGGAAUCUUCCGCAAUGGGCGAAAGCCUGACGGAGCAACGCCGCGUGAGUGAUGAAGGUCUUCGGAUCGUAAAACUCUGUUAUUAGGGAAGAACAAAUGUGUAAGUAACUAUGCACGUCUUGACGGUACCUAAUCAGAAAGCCACGGCUAACUACGUG